CACAUCAUUUUAGCGAGUGGAAAAAAGAAAAAAUUAUAUUUGGAACAAUCGCUUGUAAAAGUUGUAAAAAACGUGAACGCCGUGUACGCGGUUGCAGCCGCUAAAUAAAAAAAACGUCUUAAGUGUAUGGCAAUAUAUUAGCAAUAAGCCGUAUUGACUAAAUUUUAGUUGUGACAAUAGUUGACAUUACAGUCGAACAUUUUAAACAUUAUUUAACAUUAUGAACGAAACGAACACGCAAAACAUUCAAUAUUACAAUAUGCAUUUGAUGUUUAUCAAAUUCUAACACCGUUGAAAGUAAUAUAAAUAUCGAAUGGCCAUUACCAUUAGAUUCAUAAUCUCCGUCGGAAACGUGAAUUACAUUUGAUGUACGAUCACCGGAAAUCCCAUGACUCGUUAUAACUUCAGCUCCCCGGCUCCUCUCAAAAACCCUGGCUACGCCACUGCAGGGAAGGACGAAUAUUUAUCGGUACUGUACCGGUGGAAAAUACAGUACCCAGUGAGGAAAACGCAAGAAGAACAUUGAACGUGUUAUUGUCGCAAAGCGAAUUGUAUUUCUUUUAAACUCGAAAUAUCGAUUUUCCAACGCAAUCGUCCAAAUGAUAAAUUGUCAACUAUCGAAUAAAUGUGUUAACUUACUUUUUAAACUUUGUACGUUUUUGAUACUCGCUACUCUUUUUUGUUCAAAACGUGAAAGGUGAGGGCGGAAGCCUCCGAGACUGUUAGUGAAAACGGCGCAUAAAGUAUACUACGGAACAUACGAUUGGAAACCGUUGAUGUGCAUGAUAUUGUCGGCCCCGCAGUUUUAUUCUAAAAGCCGCGGCGGGCAACAUUGGUACGUAAAAAAAAAAAAAAAAAAAAAAAAAAAACGAAUAAAAAUUGAUUCGAAUCGGGUAUUAAUCGUAAUGACGUUCGCCGCAAUGUUUGUAACGCGCGUAAUACGAUCCGAACAAACGACGAGUCUCGGGGGACGGACGCGCGACGGCGAUAAUAAUAAUAAAAACAUGCAACAAUAACGACGCCG
Non-coding RNA from Cinara cedri, 1024 nucleotides. Lineage: Eukaryota; Metazoa; Arthropoda; Insecta; Hemiptera; Aphididae. The record is from the annotation of a GenBank genome assembly.